GACGAACGCUGGCGGCGUGCCUAAUACAUGCAAGUCGAGCGGACUUGAAGGAGUGCUUGCACUCCUGAGAGUUAGCGGCGGACGGGUGAGUAACACGUAGGCAACCUGCCCUCAAGACUGGGAUAACUACCGGAAACGGUAGCUAAUACCGGAUAAUUUAUUACAUAGCAUUAUGUGAUAAUGAAAGACGGAGCAAUCUGUCACUUGGGGAUGGGCCUGCGGCGCAUUAGCUAGUUGGUGGGGUAACGGCCCACCAAGGCGACGAUGCGUAGCCGACCUGAGGGGGUGAACGGCCACACUGGGACUGAGACACGGCCCAGACUCCUGCGGGAGGCAGCAGUAGGGAAUCUUCCGCAAUGGGCGAAAGCCUGACGGAGCAACGCCGCGUGAGUGAUGAAGGUUUUCGGAUCGUAAAGCUCUGUUGCCAAGGAAGAACGUCUCAUAGAGUAACUGCUAUGAGAGUGACGGUACUUGAGAAGAAAGCCCCGGCUAACUACGUG
This 500-nucleotide ribosomal RNA is filed under the name uncultured bacterium. RNAcentral's name for it is "partial 16S ribosomal RNA". It matches the Rfam family "Bacterial small subunit ribosomal RNA", at positions 28 to 507 of the family's 1533-position model. The record is from RNAcentral.